RNAcentral lists this ribosomal RNA (253 nucleotides) under uncultured bacterium. RNAcentral's name for it is "partial 16S ribosomal RNA". It matches the Rfam family "Bacterial small subunit ribosomal RNA", at positions 524 to 776 of the family's 1533-position model. The record is from RNAcentral.
UACGUAGGGUGCAAGCGUUAAUCGGAAUUACUGGGCGUAAAGCGUGCGCAGGCGGUAAUGUAAGACAGAUGUGAAAUCCCCGGGCUCAACCUGGGAACUGCAUUUGUGACUGCAUUGCUGGAGUGCGGCAGAGGGGGAUGGAAUUCCGCGUGUAGCAGUGAAAUGCGUAGAUAUGCGGAGGAACACCGAUGGCGAAGGCAAUCCCCUGGGCCUGUACUGACGCUCAUGCACGAAAGCGUGGGGAGCAAACAGG